RNAcentral lists this ribosomal RNA (694 nucleotides) under uncultured beta proteobacterium. RNAcentral's name for it is "bacterial SSU rRNA". It matches the Rfam family "Bacterial small subunit ribosomal RNA", at positions 799 to 1495 of the family's 1533-position model. The record is from RNAcentral. Lineage: Bacteria; Pseudomonadati; Pseudomonadota; Betaproteobacteria.
GCCCUACCGAUGUCUACUAGUUGUUGGAGAGUAAAUCUCUUAGUACGCAGCUAACGCGUGACGUAGACCGCCUGGGAGUGCGUUCGCAAGAUUAUAACUCAAAGGAAUUGACGGGGGCCCGCACAGGCGGUGGAUUAUGUGGAUUAAUUCGAUGCAACGCGGAAAAACCUUACCUGGCAUUGACAUGUAGCGAACUUAGCAGAGAUGCUUUGGUGCCCGAAAGGGAACGCUAACACAGGUGCUGCAUGGCUGUCGUCAGAUCGUGUCGUGAGAUGUUGGGUUAAGUCCCGCAACGAGCGCAACCCUUGCCAUUAAUUGCCAUCAUUUAGUUGGGCACUUUAAUGGGACUGCCGGUGACAAACCGGAGGAACGUGGGGAUGACGUCAAGUCCUCAUGGCCCUUAUGGCCAGGGCUUCACACGUAAUACAAUGGUCGGUACAGAGGGUUGCCAACCCGCGAGGGUGAGCCAAUCCCAGAAAGCCGAUCGUAGUCCGGAUUGUAGUCUGCAACUCGACUGCAUGAAGUCGGAAUCGCUAGUAAUCCCGGAUCAGCAUGUCGCGGUGAAUACGUUCCCGGGCCUUGUACACUCCGACCGUCACACCAUGGGAGUGGGUUUCACCAGAAGUAGUUAGUCUAACCGCAAGGAAGACGAUUACCACGGUGGGAUUCAUGACUGGGGGGGAGUCGUAACAAG